Molecule: ribosomal RNA, 372 nt
Filed under: uncultured organism
Description: bacterial SSU rRNA
Rfam family: Bacterial small subunit ribosomal RNA
Source: RNAcentral
CGUAGGGGGCGAGCGUUAUCCGGAAUCAUUGGGCGUAAAGGGCGCGUAGGCGGAUAUUUAAGUCAGGUGUGAAAACCCAGGGCUCAACCUUGGGAUUGCAUCUGAUACUGGGUAUCUUGAGGACAGGAGAGGAAAGUGGAAUUCCUAGUGUAGCGGUGAAAUGCGUAGAUAUUAGGAGGAACACCAGUGGCGAAGGCGACCUUCUGGACUGUAACUGACGCCGAGGCGCGAAAGCGUGGGGAGCAAACAGGAUUAGAUACCCUGGUAGUCCACGCCGUAAACGAUGAGUGCUAGGUGUAGGGGGUAUCGACCCCUCCUGUGCCGCAGUUAACACAAUAAGCACUCCGCCUGGGGAGUACGGCCGCAAGGUUG